GUUGAAACACUGGUUCUCUUACGAUCACCGAAGUUAAAUAACGUCGAACCUGGUCAGUACCUAGAUGGGUAACCGCUCGGGAAUUCCAGGUGUUGUAAG
Molecule: non-coding RNA, 99 nt
Organism: Acanthosepion pharaonis
Lineage: Eukaryota; Metazoa; Mollusca; Cephalopoda; Sepiida; Sepiidae
Source: the annotation of a GenBank genome assembly